This 69-nucleotide transfer RNA is filed under the name Taenia serialis. RNAcentral describes it as "tRNA-Asp". The record is from RNAcentral. Lineage: Eukaryota; Metazoa; Platyhelminthes; Cestoda; Cyclophyllidea; Taeniidae.
GUGACUUUAGUUUAAUAAAAAUAGUGAUUUGUCUAGUCAUAGAUGGUAAAAUUUAGUAACCAAGUCACU